This 549-nucleotide ribosomal RNA is filed under the name Agrobacterium sp. RNAcentral describes it as "bacterial SSU rRNA". It matches the Rfam family "Bacterial small subunit ribosomal RNA", at positions 44 to 638 of the family's 1533-position model. Lineage: Bacteria; Pseudomonadati; Pseudomonadota; Alphaproteobacteria; Hyphomicrobiales; Rhizobiaceae. The record is from RNAcentral.
AGGCUUAACACAUGCAAGUCGAACGCCCCGCAAGGGGAGUGGCAGACGGGUGAGUAACGCGUGGGAACAUACCCUUUCCUGCGGAAUAGCUCCGGGAAACUGGAAUUAAUACCGCAUACGCCCUACGGGGGAAAGAUUUAUCGGGGAAGGAUUGGCCCGCGUUGGAUUAGCUAGUUGGUGGGGUAAAGGCCUACCAAGGCGACGAUCCAUAGCUGGUCUGAGAGGAUGAUCAGCCACAUUGGGACUGAGACACGGCCCAAACUCCUACGGGAGGCAGCAGUGGGGAAUAUUGGACAAUGGGCGCAAGCCUGAUCCAGCCAUGCCGCGUGAGUGAUGAAGGCCUUAGGGUUGUAAAGCUCUUUCACCGGAGAAGAUAAUGACGGUAUCCGGAGAAGAAGCCCCGGCUAACUUCGUGCCAGCAGCCGCGGUAAUACGAAGGGGGCUAGCGUUGUUCGGAAUUACUGGGCGUAAAGCCGCACGUAGGCGGAUAUUUAAGUCAGGGGGUGAAAUCCCAGAGCUCAACUCUGGAACUGCCUUUUGAUACUGGGU